GCUAACUCCGUGCCAGGAGGCGGUGGAAAACGGGUGAUCCUAGCGUUAGUCGGAUUUAUUGGGUUUAGAUGGUGCGUAGGCGGAAGAAUAAGUCAGUGGUUAAAGGUUGCAGCUCAACUGUAAAAUUGCCGUUGAAACUGUUUUUCUUGAGUGUAAAUGAGGUAGGCGGAAUGUGUUGUGUAGCGGUGAAAUGCUUAGAUAUAACACAGAACACCGAUUGCGAAGGCAGCUUACUAAGAUACAACUGACGCUGAGGCACGAAAGCGUGGGGAUCGAACAGGAUUAGAUACCCGAGUAGUC
Molecule: ribosomal RNA, 300 nt
Filed under: uncultured Helicobacter sp.
Lineage: Bacteria; Pseudomonadati; Campylobacterota; Epsilonproteobacteria; Campylobacterales; Helicobacteraceae
Description: bacterial SSU rRNA
Rfam family: Bacterial small subunit ribosomal RNA
Source: RNAcentral